AACGAACGCUGGCGGCAUGCCUAACACAUGCAAGUCGAACGAGACCUUCGGGUCUAGUGGCGCACGGGUGCGUAACGCGUGGGAACCUGCCCUUAGGUUCGGAAUAACUCCCCGAAAGGGGUGCUAAUACCGGAUAAUGUCUUCGGACCAAAGAUUUAUCGCCUUUGGAUGGGCCUGCGUUGGAUUAGCUAGUUGGUAGGGUAAAAGCCUACCAAGGCGACGAUCCAUAGCUGGUCAGAGAGGAAGAUCAGCCACACUGGGACUGAGACACGGCCCAGAAUCCUACGCGAGGCAGCAGUGGGUGAUAUUGGACAAUGGGCGAAAGGCUGAUCCAGCAAUGCCGCGUGAGUGAUGAAGGCCUUAGGGUUGUAAAGCACUUUUACCCGUGAUGAUAAUGACAGUACCGGGAGAAUAAGCUCCGGCUAACUCCGUG
Molecule: ribosomal RNA, 433 nt
Filed under: uncultured bacterium
Lineage: Bacteria
Description: partial 16S ribosomal RNA
Rfam family: Bacterial small subunit ribosomal RNA
Source: RNAcentral